UACAGAGGGUGCGAACGUUGUUCGGAAUUACUGGGCGUAAAGCGCGUGUAGGCGGCUCGGAAAGUCGGAUGUGAAAGCCCUGGGCUUAACCCAGGAAGUGCACUCGAAACUUCCGAGCUUGAGUUCUGGAGAGGAAGGCGGAAUUCUUGGUGUAGAGGUGAAAUUCGUAGAUAUCAGGAAGAACACCGGUGGCGAAGGCGGGUCUCUGGGCCGAUAUUGACGCUGAGGAGCGAAAGCGUGGGGAGCGAACAGG
This 253-nucleotide ribosomal RNA is filed under the name uncultured bacterium. RNAcentral describes it as "partial 16S ribosomal RNA". It matches the Rfam family "Bacterial small subunit ribosomal RNA", at positions 524 to 776 of the family's 1533-position model. The record is from RNAcentral.